AGGGAGGGGUUGAUGAGCGGCUGGUCGGGGCGGUACAGCUGCAGCAGGUACGCGGGCAUCAUGGAACCGAAGCCGCGCUUGUCCUGCACCUGGCGAGGAUGAAAGUACCAAGUGACUUGUUGCUCUGCUUCAUUUGAAAGUGCCUCUGGCUGGCCCGGGUCGUCAGGAUCCUCCCAGUACCCCCGCUUCACGACGGGCCAGAAGGGCUGAGCCUGGCCCCGCUCGUAGCCCGGAUCAGCGGCCACAACCCCAAGCACCCCCAACGCCAAGAGUCCAGUCAACACAACGCCAACGAGGCUUUCCUGAAGUGUCUGCCAACCCUGUGAUACGCAGCUGCAGCUAUCUCUGGACGCGGGAUAAAGAGAACCGGGCAACCUUAUGGAGGAGGCGUGUCCAAGGGUUAACGAAAUCAAGUGUUGUUUUGUGCAGAAUUCAUCCGUGAAAGUUUUCCUUCAGCGAUAAAAGUCAAUAAGAAGGCUCAGAAACACCUUUGAUACUCGACGGAAAGUGGUCGUGAAGUGUUAUUUUGUGGGCCUGAGAUUGAUAUACCUGCUGCUAGUGGAUGUCUGGCUGUGUCUAGUGGGGCGCCAUACUCCACCACCACCACCAGUACCUUCCCUCCUCCACCAAGCCAGCAAGCUCCACAGUCUUCCUAAAGUGUCCUUGUGGUUUCUGUGUGUUGUGCGCGUGAGUUGCACAGAAUAUUUUCGAGGAUAUCUGGCUGGCUUCAGUGGUGCGCCAUAUUCCAUUGCUACCACCACUACCUUCCCCCCUCCACCAGCAAGUAAUCUGCCUUCCUAAAGUUUCCUUGUGGUUACUGUGUGUUGUGGGCGUGAGUUGAACAGAUUACUUUAGUGGAUAUCUGGCUGUCAAACGGUCCGCAAUACUCCACUCCCACCACCUGAUCUUAUCCUCUCUACCAAGCGAGCCAGCAAAUACUUCGGCCUUCUGGUAACGUUCUCUCUCACCACCAAGUCCAGCAUGUCCAACGACCGCCAGAAGAAUCAACGAGGAACCGUCAACCACCAGCACCAGCAUCAACACCAGCAUCAACACCACCACCACAAUAGUACCAACACUCAGCAGAAGAAGGUUGUCGUUCACCACCACCACCACAACAAACCACAACCACAACAACAGCAGAAGGUUGUCGUUCACCACCACCACCACAACAAACCACCACCACAACAACAGCAGAAGAAGGUUGUCGUUCAUCACCACCACCACGACAAUCAGCCCCAGCUGCAGACCAAAGUGGUUCACCAUCACCACAACAACAAAAAAAAUAACCAGCCACCAACACGCGUCGUUCACCACCACCACCACAACAGCAACAACACCAACACUGCUCAACACACCCACCAGCACACGCACCAGCAUGUCCACCACCACCAGAAAAAGUAAAAUGGUUACCAACACACGCUGCUCAUCAUUGUCGCCACUCACCUAUCUAUGGAUAGGGAUGAGUGGUACUGGUGACAGCUAGCAUUGUGGAUAAUGUGUGUGUCAGUAAAAAUGUAAGACCACUUAAUAAUACUCUGGAGUAUAUUCCAAAUCAAGUUGCUUCCACAAUAGAAAAUGAUUAUCCCGAGAUCGUACAUUAUUAAUUAAUACGUUCCUUUACCGCCUGACACACACACACACACACACUUUAUAAAAUGAAGAUUGAUUGAUUGAUAGUUAUAUAUA
Eriocheir sinensis (Chinese mitten crab) is the source of this 1689-nucleotide long non-coding RNA. RefSeq lists it as uncharacterized. The record is from RefSeq and is a predicted model, not a curated record. NCBI's taxonomy places the organism in Eukaryota, Metazoa, Arthropoda, Malacostraca, Decapoda, Varunidae. The transcript has 3 exons.